GACCUCGUGUCGGGAGAGACCUACCCGCCAAAUUUAAGCAUAUUAAUAAGCGGAGGAAAAGAAACCAACAGGGAUUCCCUUAGUAAGGGCGACUGAACGGGGAAGAGCCUAGCGCAUAACCUCGUGUCUUAACCGGCACGAGGGGUGUUGCGUUUCGGAGGGUCCGGCACGCCGUCCCAUACCGCCUAAGUCAAGCUUGAAAGCGGCCACUACCCAUGGAGGGUGACAGGCCCGUGUGGCGGCGCCCGCGAGGGCAUAGAUGGGGCGGUCGGAAAGGGCCUCUCUGUAGAGUCGGGUUGCUUAAUAAUGCAGCCCAAAGCAGGUGGUAAACUCCAUCUAAGGCUAAAUA
Molecule: ribosomal RNA, 349 nt
Filed under: Procambarus clarkii (red swamp crayfish)
Lineage: Eukaryota; Metazoa; Arthropoda; Malacostraca; Decapoda; Cambaridae
Description: eukaryotic LSU rRNA
Rfam family: Eukaryotic large subunit ribosomal RNA
Source: RNAcentral